This 496-nucleotide ribosomal RNA is filed under the name uncultured bacterium. RNAcentral describes it as "partial 16S ribosomal RNA". It matches the Rfam family "Bacterial small subunit ribosomal RNA", at positions 29 to 507 of the family's 1533-position model. The record is from RNAcentral.
AUGAACGCUGGCGGCGUGCCUAAUCCCUGCAAGUCGAGCGAACAGACGAGGAGCUUGCUCCUCUGACGUUAGCGGCGGACGGGUGAGUAACACGUGGAUAACCUACCUAUAAGACUGGGAUAACUUCGGGAAACCGGAGCUAAUACCGGAUGAUAUAUUGAACCGCAUGGUUCAAUAGUGAAAGACGGUUUUGCUGUCACUUAUAGAUGGAUCCGCGCCGCAUUAGCUAGUUGGUAAGGUAACGGCUUACCAAGGCAACGAUGCGUAGCCGACCUGAGAGGGUGAUCGGCCACACUGGAACUGAGACACGGUCCAGACUCCUACGGGAGGCAGCAGUAGGGAAUCUUCCGCAAUGGGCGAAAGCCUGACGGAGCAACGCCGCGUGAGUGAUGAAGGUCUUCGGAUCGUAAAACUCUGUUAUUAGGGAAGAACAAAUGUGUAAGUAACUAUGCACGUCUUGACGGUACCUAAUCAGAAAGCCACGGCUAACUACGUG